Molecule: long non-coding RNA, 638 nt
Organism: Triticum dicoccoides
Lineage: Eukaryota; Viridiplantae; Streptophyta; Magnoliopsida; Poales; Poaceae
Exons: 4
Source: RefSeq, a predicted model, not a curated record
UGCUUGCAGAUUUCUUCAGGGGUCGGAGGCCAACCACCACAUGGCAAUAGUCUGAAGACUGCAUUUGAAAUAUGCCUUCAGCAUAGUUAACUACCUUGCUAAACUUGUCAUGUUGUGUGUAGAUACUGCCCCCGUGCUUGGCAAACUUGUCAUGAGGCAUCCUUUUGUUGCCUUUCCUACUGUUGACAAGACCAGGGUGACCAUCAGGGAGCAGAAGGAGGUCACCGUCCAGCUAAUUAACUACACCAAGAGCGGGAAGAAGUUCUGGAACUUGUUUUACCUGCAGCCUAUGUGGGUUCAGAAGGUAGCGAAAUGUUAUUGAAAUGCUGAAUUUGUUUUGGAGCUUGCAGACUUUGAAGACAUGAGCUGCGAAAUGAUAUAUGGUCAGGUGCCCCCACCAGUGGAAGAAGAUCCAGUGUCGAAACAACCCUGCUAUCCCAGCCUCUGUUCCAUAUCGACGCCCUCCGCUGCAAUAUGUCCCAAAAUUCAGAACUAGUCUUCUGCAAGCGCUCACAAGGGUUUUGAUACAAAAUUGUGCAUGGUGCCAUGGUAUCGGAUAGGCCAGAAUUUCAACAGGGACAAUAGAUAGUGCAUCGGUAAAUUUCUGAAACUUGGGGAUGCAUCACUGGGACAAUAUA